UGAGACAAUUAAAUAACCUAAGGUUAUGGUAAUAAGGAAGGGUUAGUAUUUAAUAUGUAUACUAACUUAAGUGGAUAAUCUUGUUAUUUUAAGUGACUAAUAAUUUUAAACCUAUUUCUAAUAAACCUAAUUAGGUUAUGAGCUAAAGUCACAUGUAUAAGUAAUUAAAUUUCAUAAGAUUGGGAAUAGAAACCCUAAAUAAACAAUUUGGGUAGCAUAUAUUAAAAGUUUUAGACUAUGUUCAUUACAUGACCCAAAACAAUUAAAGGAGAAGCCCAAAAGAAAUAAAAUGCAAGCCC
RNAcentral lists this long non-coding RNA (299 nucleotides) under Panax ginseng (ginseng). Its description in RNAcentral is "long non-coding RNA (PGIN_LNC018587)". Lineage: Eukaryota; Viridiplantae; Streptophyta; Magnoliopsida; Apiales; Araliaceae. The record is from RNAcentral.